This 251-nucleotide ribosomal RNA is filed under the name uncultured prokaryote. RNAcentral's name for it is "partial 16S rRNA". It matches the Rfam family "Bacterial small subunit ribosomal RNA", at positions 525 to 775 of the family's 1533-position model. The record is from RNAcentral.
ACGGAGGGGGCAAGCGUUAUUCGGAAUUACUGGGCGUAAAGAGCGCGUAGGCGGUGCGUCAAGUGGGAGGUGAAAACCCUGGGCUUAACCCAGGAACGGCAUUUGAAACUGUCGGGCUUGAGUCUGGGAGAGGAAAGCGGAAUUCCUGGUGUAGCGGUGAAAUGCGUAGAUAUCAGGAGGAACACCGGUGGCGAAGGCGACUUCCUGGACCAGUACUGACGCUGAGGCGCGAAAGCGUGGGUAGCAAACAG